RNAcentral lists this ribosomal RNA (633 nucleotides) under bacterium TN61C. RNAcentral describes it as "bacterial SSU rRNA". It matches the Rfam family "Bacterial small subunit ribosomal RNA", at positions 11 to 658 of the family's 1533-position model. The record is from RNAcentral.
GUUUGAUCCUGGCUGAGGAUGAACGCUGGCGGCGUGCUUAACACAUGCAAGUCGAACGAUGAUCCCAGCUUGCUGGGGGAUUAGUGGCGAACGGGUGAGUAACACGUGAGUAACCUGCCCUUGACUCUGGGAUAAGCCUGGGAAACUGGGUCUAAUACCGGAUACGACCAUCUGGCGCAUGUCAUGGUGGUGGAAAGCUUUUGUGGUUUUGGAUGGACUCGCGGCCUAUCAGCUUGUUGGUGGGGUAAUGGCCUACCAAGGCGACGACGGGUAGCCGGCCUGAGAGGGUGACCGGCCACACUGGGACUGAGACACGGCCCAGACUCCUACGGGAGGCAGCAGUGGGGAAUAUUGCACAAUGGGCGCAAGCCUGAUGCAGCGACGCCGCGUGAGGGAUGACGGCCUUCGGGUUGUAAACCUCUUUCAGUAGGGAAGAAGCGAAAGUGACGGUACCUGCAGAAGAAGCGCCGGCUAACUACGUGCCAGCAGCCGCGGUAAUACGUAGGGCGCAAGCGUUAUCCGGAAUUAUUGGGCGUAAAGAGCUCGUAGGCGGUUUGUCGCGUCUGCUGUGAAAGACCGGGGCUCAACUCCGGUUCUGCAGUGGGUACGGGCAGACUAGAGUGCAGUAGGGGA